Long non-coding RNA from Xyrauchen texanus (razorback sucker), 327 nucleotides. RefSeq lists it as uncharacterized. NCBI's taxonomy places the organism in Eukaryota, Metazoa, Chordata, Actinopteri, Cypriniformes, Catostomidae. The transcript is spliced from 3 exons. The record is from RefSeq and is a predicted model, not a curated record.
GAAAGAAGUCAUAUGGGUUUGGAACAACAUGGCGGUGAAAGGGUGUGAAAGAUCUUGUGGAAAUCAUUGUCCACAUUGUGUGAAGUGGGAUAAAACAAGUUCUUCUCUGCAUUCAGCAUCAAUCCAGCAAGGAGUCGUUCAGCACCACGGACAGCAAAUCUCAUGUCAUGCAGUGUGCUAACACAGCAACCUCCUCCACCCCACCAUCACCUGUUGAGUCCCGUCCUGAACGGGGGUAGGCUCCUCGCCCCUGCCUCCUAUCUCUGGCAGGAUAUGACGGUUCCGAGUACAACUUCUUUGGACCGCCAGAUGGGGCUCACACCAAAG